Molecule: long non-coding RNA, 634 nt
Organism: Jaculus jaculus (lesser Egyptian jerboa)
Lineage: Eukaryota; Metazoa; Chordata; Mammalia; Rodentia; Dipodidae
Exons: 2
Source: RefSeq, a predicted model, not a curated record
GUUGCCCGGGGCCCCCCGCGGGGACAAAGCAUCCCGCGCGGGUCGCCGCCCGCGGUUUCCCCUGGGGCCCGCGCGUGGGUGGUUGCUGCGGGCCCGUGGGUUGAGGAGCAUCCUCCGCCUGCCCAGAGAAAAUGGAAGUGGAGCGGUCAGGAAACUGGAGCAGGUGGCCUUUAGUGCCACUCUCCCAGGCGAGGCCGCAGGUUCGGGCAGAGUCCCCCAGGUUAAGGAAGACGCCACAGUCCAGAAACUAGAGCCCUUGAGCUGGGCCAGCAAAGAACAGCAAGAAGUGUUAUGUCGCAGCUCUGCUCAGAGUGACAGCCAUGCGCAGAGGACCAAGCAAUAACUUGUCUCUCAAGACCCAGAGCUCAUCACUCACAGGGGCCAAAGGAGCCCCUGAGCCCGGUCACCCCAAGAAAAGUUUGUAGGAGAAAACACAAUUUGUUCCAAGCAGCUAGCUUACAAACAAUGUUUUGGAUCAUGUCCUGCUUUGCAAACCGAGGCCCAGUUCUCUCAGUAAUGGGCCAGCUCUGGGAGUGCCAAGAGAGAAGCCAUUAGGAGAAAAAAAAAAAAAAGCAAGAAAUCUUUCAGUCCAUUAAGUAAAAAGAGGAUUUUUUAAUCCUUUAUUAUUUAUGAU